AACGAACGCUGGCGGCAUGCCUAACACAUGCAAGUCGAACGAGACCUUCGGGUCUAGUGGCGCACGGGUGCGUAACGCGUGGGAAUCUGCCCUUGGGUUCGGAAUAACAGCGAGAAAUUGCUGCUAAUACCGGAUGAUGACGUAAGUCCAAAGAUUUAUCGCCCAAGGAUGAGCCCGCGUAGGAUUAGCUAGUUGGUGAGGUAAAGGCUCACCAAGGCGACGAUCCUUAGCUGGUCUGAGAGGAUGAUCAGCCACACUGGGACUGAGACACGGCCCAGACUCCUACGGGAGGCAGCAGUGGGGAAUAUUGCGCAAUGGGCGAAAGCCUGACGCAGCGACGCCGCGUGGGUGAUGAAGGCCUUGGGUCGUAAAGCCCUGUCGCAGGGGAAGAAGU
This 394-nucleotide ribosomal RNA is filed under the name uncultured bacterium. RNAcentral's name for it is "bacterial SSU rRNA". It matches the Rfam family "Bacterial small subunit ribosomal RNA", at positions 29 to 451 of the family's 1533-position model. The record is from RNAcentral.